UAGAGCAGAGCUGUUAGCUUAGCGUAGUGCGUCACCAUACGUGCGCCCUCGUGACAAAUGGUGACUGCACCCGACAGCCCCAAGUGUCCUGCCAAACCUAUUUGCCUAUUCGCGUAGAGUAACGUGAUUUACAUACAUAUAUACAUAUGUAUAUAAAAUAUUAUAUUACAUUACAUUUAACUUUUGUAUAUCAAAUCGGCAUACAUUAAUCAAUACGGUUGAUUAAAAUUUAAUUGACAUAUGGUGUUCCAUUAAACAAGCGAAUCGUCGUCAUCGUCGCCGUGGUCGUGGUAUGUCCAUAUACUUGUUUAUAGAGUGAGCGGGUGCGUAUGUUUUGUACUCCUGACUGAUGAAGAUGCCAUUAAAAAGUGAUCAAGAGAUUAUGGAAAAUUCAAUGCUUGAGGAGGAUCCGAAUGGCAAUUCGGCACUCGAACAGGUGUUCAACACAGAAAAGAAUUCUCCUCGUUGGGGACCACAACAUAAGGGUGCACAAGAGCUUGCUAAGCUGUAUGGCCCAGGGAAACGUCUACAAGAGAUAGUCUGCGUUUACACCUGCAUCGCACUCAUGAUAGUUGACCUGAUUCUGAUCCUAAAACAUAUACAUUUUGAAAGACUGAGUGUGGCUUGUGUAUCGGCAUUGUGUGGUAUUAUAACGGCCGACUUCGGUUCCGGAUUAGUCCACUGGGCAGCUGAUACUUGGGGUAGCGUUGAAUUACCGGUCAUUGGGAAGAAUUUUUUACGACCUUUCCGUGAACAUCAUCUGGAUCCAACAUCUAUAACGCGGCAUGACUUCAUUGAAACCAAUGGUGACAACUUUAUGGUUAGCAUACCCAUAUUGGGCUUCUUAGCAUACAGCUUUAACACGAAAUCACCUCAAGAUAUUCAGCAAGAUUUUGGCUGGAUAUCAUAUUUGUUUUUGUGUUCAAUAUUUGUGGCUAUGACAAAUCAGAUUCACAAAUGGUCGCAUACUUAUUGGGGUUUACCGAGAUGGGUUCUCUUCUUGCAAAACUAUCACAUAGUAUUACCACGAAAACAUCACCGUAUACAUCACGUAGCACCGCAUGAGACAUAUUUUUGCAUUACUACGGGGUGGCUGAAUUGGCCAUUGGAAAAGAUUAAAUUCUGGCACACGUUAGAGGCUAUAAUUGAGUACUGUACAGGCUGCAAGGCACGCGACGAUGACCUCAAGUGGGCUAAAAAGAUGACAUAACUGUAUUGGGACAAAGCUGAGAAAUGGGCUUUAAUCCUCGAGAUCCUCAAAAACUAGUCGAGAACCAUACAUACAAAUCAGUUACACUGGUCUUCAGUGGUUUCGUUGCCCUAGUUAAAAAAACGAUUUUGGAUAUUGUAUUUUGUGCCCUCAGUUUAUUAAACAAAAUAACAUAUGUAUAUGUAUACUAUGUACAUAUCGUGCUAUGUACAUAUCGGGCAUGAAUGAAAAAGGAAAUAAAAUGGAACAUGAGUGAAAACUGGUUUAUAUCUAAGGGUAGAACCUGAAAAUGUU
Molecule: unclassified non-coding RNA, 1504 nt
Filed under: Bactrocera latifrons
Lineage: Eukaryota; Metazoa; Arthropoda; Insecta; Diptera; Tephritidae
Description: transmembrane protein 189, transcript variant X5
Source: RNAcentral